GUACGAUCGCAAGAUUAAAACUCAAAGGAAUUGACGGGGGCCCCGCACAAGCAGCGGAGCAUGCGGCUUAAUUCGACGCAACGCGAAGAACCUUACCAAGGCUUGACAUAUAGGGAAAAGUGGCAGAGAUGUCAUGUCCGCAAGGGCUCUAUACAGGUGGUGCAUGGUUGUCGUCAGCUCGUGUCGUGAGAUGUUGGGUUAAGUCCCGCAACGAGCGCAACCCUCGUUCUGUGUUGCCAGCAUUUAGUUGGGGACUCACAGGAGACUGCCGGGGUUAACUCGGAGGAAGGUGGGGAUGACGUCAAAUCAUCAUGCCCCUUAUGUCUUGGGCUGCACGCAUGCUACAAUGGCCGGUACAGAGGGCUGCAAUACCGUAAGGUGGAGCGAAUCCCAAAAAGCCGGUCUCAGUUCGGAUUGAGGUCUGCAACUCGACCUCAUGAAGUUGGAGUUGCUAGUAAUCGUAGAUCAGCAACGCUACGGUGAAUACGUUCCCGGGGCUUGUACACACCGCCCGUCACGUCACGAAAGUCGGUAACACCCAAAGUCAGUGGCCCAACCGCAAGGGGGGAGCUGCCUAAGGUGGGAUCGGUGAUUGGGACG
This 600-nucleotide ribosomal RNA is filed under the name uncultured bacterium. RNAcentral describes it as "bacterial SSU rRNA". It matches the Rfam family "Bacterial small subunit ribosomal RNA", at positions 880 to 1482 of the family's 1533-position model. The record is from RNAcentral.